GGAUGCGAUCAUUCCAGCUCUAAAGCCCCGGAUUCCAUUAGAAAUUCGAAGUUAAACGUGGUUCGGCGAGAGUUGUAUUUGGAUGGGUGACCUUCCGGGAAGUCCUGGUGCUGCAUUCC
RNAcentral lists this ribosomal RNA (119 nucleotides) under Sorghum bicolor (sorghum). Lineage: Eukaryota; Viridiplantae; Streptophyta; Magnoliopsida; Poales; Poaceae. The record is from RNAcentral.